Molecule: ribosomal RNA, 506 nt
Filed under: uncultured bacterium
Lineage: Bacteria
Description: partial 16S ribosomal RNA
Rfam family: Bacterial small subunit ribosomal RNA
Source: RNAcentral
AGUGAACGCUGGCGGUAGGCCUAACACAUGCAAGUCGAACGGCAGCACAGAGGAGCUUGCUCCUUGGGUGGCGAGUGGCGGACGGGUGAGGAAUACAUCGGAAUCUACUCUGUCGUGGGGGAUAACGUAGGGAAACUUACGCUAAUACCGCAUACGACCUACGGGGGAAAGCAGGGGAUCUUCGGACCUUGCGCGAUUGAAUGAGCCGAUGUCGGAAUAGCUAGCUGGCGGGGUAAAGGCCCACCAAGGCGACGAUCCGUAGAUGGUCUGAGAGGAGGAUCAGCCACACUGGAACUGAGAACCGGUCUAGACUCGUACGUGAGGCAGCAGUGGGGAAUAUUGGACAAUGGGCGCAAGCCUGAUCCAGCCAUACCGCGUGGGUGAAGAAGGCCUUCGGGUUGUAAAGCCCUUUUGUUGGGAAAGAAAUCCAUCUGGUUAAUACCCGGGUGGGAUGACGGUACCCAAAGAAUAAGCACCGGCUAACUUCGUGCCAGCCGCCGCAGUAA